This is a non-coding RNA of Lactuca sativa (garden lettuce), 3972 nucleotides long. Lineage: Eukaryota; Viridiplantae; Streptophyta; Magnoliopsida; Asterales; Asteraceae. The record is from RefSeq and is a predicted model, not a curated record.
UAGGUUAGAAAGAUUUUAAUUUUGGAAAAUGUUUUAUAAAUGACCGUUGGAAUUGGGAAGCCAAAAGUUUGGGUCGGUGUAUUAGCCCAUAAAUUAUUACCUUCUCCACUCUUCCUUCUUCACUUCAUUCAUCCCGCUUCUUUCUCCAAACACCGUCGGAGACGACUCAUCGUCGCGACCUCUGUAACUCAGCUCACCGGAGACACAAGCACCCCCACCCUUCGUAAGAUUCUCACAACCAUGUCGGUAAUCCUAAGAAGUUAUCUUUAAGUUUUCAUUCCUUUUCCCUCUUAUUUUAGUUCUCUAGGGUUUUCUAUAUUUCAGAUGUUGUAAUCUCCUCUGUAUGUAUGGAUACGAGAAAAAUCGAAGCAUACUCUAGUUUUCUAACUACACAAGCUGUAUUGCAACUUAAAAACAGAAGGAAACUGCAUAGUUUUCCUGUAGUUUUGUUGACCGUUUCAUAAAGGAAACAGUGAGGAUUCAGACUUGUACUUAGAGUCAUCCAUCACCUAUAUAUAUAUAUAUAUAUAUAUAUAUAUAUAUAUAUAUAUAUAUAUAUAUAUAUAUAUAGAAGUAGAAGCUAUACCCAUCUGUAAGUUUUUACGCAAAAUUCUAAGUUAAAAUUUUAUCAUUUUAAAAGUAUUUUUAGUUACUUGCCCCUGCAGCUUCUCAACUUGAUGUUGUAUCAAACAUGGUUCCAAUUUUUCAAUAAAUAAUUUGUAUGCAAUGUAUCCAUUUCAGACCAUGUAGCCUUUGAUCAUCUAUUACAUGUAAGUUUUUAAAGUGCAUUGUUGCUCAUUCGCCCAUUUAAAUUACAUAGCUUUAAUUACAAUGAAUGUGCAGGCCUUUUGGUUGUUUUUUUUUUCAAAUGACAUUGAUCCUAUCUAUAAGUUUGUGGAUUUUUUUAACAUGAAUCUUUCCCCUUCUUCUGAUCAUGAACCAAAGAAAAUUAAGUUCAUGACAAAACUGUUCUUUCUUUUUAGCUUACUUACUAUAUUUUCAUUCGUGUAGGUCAACAACUUGAAAUUGUUGGAUGACAUGGCAGAAUUGAGUUCAGCCUACUAUGUUCCACAACUAUAUAACAGAGUAUAUGAUGGAUGGGUGUUAUGAAUGUAGUGAAGAGGCAAAAAGAAUUAUUUAAUGAGGAGGAAAAAAGCAUUUUUUUAAGGCAAGAAUGCAUCUCCUAUCCUAUGCUAUGUUAUGUGGGGGAGAUUAGUAUUUAACAAAAUAAAAGACAACUUACUUUCAUUUAUGGUUUGAGGUGCAUCACCCUUGUCUCCUGAUGUCAUGGAUUUUCUUAAAGUGUACACUUUUAGUUCCAUUGAAUCUCAAAUACUUUGCUUUAUCAAAUUACUGUCUUCAAUCCAUUGAUUACAAGCUGACAAAGCAUGGAAACAAUAUGCAGGUGUACAGGAAAUGAUGUGCUUAUUCAUUUAAAAAAUGCUAAAUAUUGCAUGGAAAAUGCCUUCAGCACUUAUUUAGUAUGCCUGCAAAAUGAGACAUCAGGGAAAGGAAAUGCCAUGUGGUGUGGUCUUUGGUGGGUUAAAAUGUUAGAAACAAGUGGUCAACAUAAAGAGGGUGUUGGUGCUUACUUUUGUAUCUCAGAUGAGGCAUCUUCUUGCUGUUACGGUUUAGCCAAACCAAUUAUAUUUAGAAAUGGACGACAAGGGUAUUUCAAGAAAAACUUCAAUUUUUGUGAACACAUCAUAUGCCAAGUGCAAUUUUGUUGGUCAAUGCUUUGUGUAUGGUCAACAACUUGAAAUUGUUGGAUGAAGACAUGGAAGAAUUAAGUUCAGCCUACUUUGUUCCACAACUAUAUAACAGAGUAUAUGAUGGAUGGGUGUUAUGAAUGCAGUGAAGAGGCAAAAAACAUUAUUUAAUGAGGAGGAAAAAAGCAUUUUUUAAAGGUGCAUCACCCUCCCCUUGUCUCCUGAUGUCAUGGAUUUACUUAAGAUUCCAAUUCCUUUGACAAAUUCCGUUCAUUACUCUGCAACAAGAAAAUGUUUCAGAAACCAAACAGAACUUGUGGAUUAGAAAAGGCAAAGAAGAAGCUCCCGAGAAUCAAAGUGAUAACAUGCAUGUUUUUACCCUUAACACUACAAAAACACUUGAUGUUUUUUAUGUUAUUAUUAAGUUUUUCGGUUAAUGUUUAAAGGUACACUUUUAGUUCCAUUGAAUCUCAAAUACCUCACUUUAUCAAAUUACUGCCUUCAAUCCACUGAUUACAAGCUGACAAAGCAUGGAAACGAGAUACAGGUCUACAGGAAAUGAUGUGCUUAUUUAUUUAAAAGAUGCUAAAUAUUGCAUGGAAAAUGCCUUCAGUACUUAUUUAGUAUGGCUGCAAAUUGAGACAUCAGGAAAGGGAAAUGCCACAUGGUGGUGGUCUUUGGUGGAUUGAAAUGUUAGAAACACGUGGUGAAUAUAAACAGGGUGCUGUGUUUAAGUGGACAACAAGGGUAUUUCGAGAAAAACUUCAAUUUUUUGCAUAAACAUCAUAUGCCAAGUGCAAUUGUGUUGGUCAAUGUUUUAUGUAUGCAACCCGGGACCCAACACGUGUAUGAUUUUCCAAGGUAAAAUUAAUAUUGUGUAGACUUGUAUAAUUUUCCUGAUGCUCUUCAGGAUUAUGUAUAACAUCCACCUGAAGAAGUUGAUGAAUGCAUACUCUGAUAGACACGAGGUAAUUUUUUCAUUAUUUAACAAAUGUAACUAACUACUCUUUUUUUCAAUGUUUAAUUAAUAGUCUGAUCUCUUUGAAAAAUAAAAAGGUGCAACACCACAUCACCUCUACCACCUAAUUCAAUGGUGCAACAAAACCUAGAAUUCAAUACGAGUAUGUAGUCCGCUUUCUAAAAACUCUGGAUGAAAUUAGUUUAAUAGGAGAAGAUUUUCAAAUAAGACAUGAGUAGUUGAUACAGACGUUUCACAUACAUGGGAUUAAUUUUGCCUAAAUCAAUGUACAUUUUUGUUGUUCCAUGGUUUGGUUGUUUUUUUAUAACCUCUAGAUUUCAUACUCAUGUAUAAUAUACAUUCUUAGUGUAAACCCUCUACAUUUCAUCACCAUAGUUACUGAUUUUGUUGUUGUGGUAGUUAGUGGUAGAACAAGGGUACAAUGUCGUUCUUCAAGAGAAAUUGAAGAAAGGAAAUUGGUAACUUACAAUUUACAUCAUAAGUUUGUGUACGCAUCUGCAUUAUACUUUCUUCACUGAAAUUGUAUAUAUUUGAAAAAAACAUAUCACUAAUUUUCUUCCACUAUAGGUAUGCAUCCGAAACCUUCUGAGAUUACAAGUAGAUGGAGGAGAGUAUGUUGAGUAGUUUAUUAUUUUUUAAGGAAGAUUGGUUACAAAACAAAUAUUUAUAAUUUAUUUAUCUGCAUUCUUUUAAAGAUACAAAUGGAUGACUUAUGCCAAAACUCUCAGUCAGCUUUUGGUUUUGGGUUAGUGGCCCAUGCCCAAGGCAUGUCACUUGUAUACUAAUUUAUCCUUGUUGGUUUUGUACAUAUCUAAAGAAAAUUAAGUUCAUGAAAGAACUGUUCUUUCUUUUUGGCUUACUUACUAUAUUUUCAUUCGUGUAGGUCAACAACUUGAAAUUGUUGGAUGACAUGGCGGAAUUGAGUUCAACCAACUGUGUUACACAAAGCAUAUGAUGGGUUGGUGAAGUGCCAAAAAGCAUUAUUUAAUGAGGAGGCAAAAAGCAUUUUUUAAAGCAUUUCUUGGCUUAAAGAAGAAGAGAAGAAGAAGAAGAAAACGGUGAUGUUUUGGAGAGGCUUGCAAGGAAUCAUCAUCAUCACCUCACAUUGUUUCUGGACCCUUGUAUAUCUAGGCUCGGCAUGACUACACAACAUCCCCGACGUUUUGUGCGUUGAUUAUUUAUGACUUUUACUCUGAUGUUUAAAUGAUAUAAUCACUUUGGUUGGUGUUGGAACAAAUCGUUUGUAUUGUUUAUGGAUUUAAAAAUGAAAAUUUUUACUAUGAA